AACGAACGCUGGCGGCAGGCCUAACACAUGCAAGUCGAGCGCGCCCUUCGGGGUGUUCGGCGGAUGGGGGUGUCACGCGUGGGAACGUUCCCUUUUCUACGGAAUAGCCUCGGGAAACGGAGAGUAAUACCGUAUACGCCCUUUUGGGGAAUGAUUUAUCGGAAAAGGAGCGGCCCGCGUUGGAUUCGGUGGUUGUGGGGGUAAUGGCCUCCCACGCGGACGAUCCAUAGAUGGUUUGAGAGGAUGAUCAGCCACACUGGGACUGAGAGACGGCCCAGACUCCUACGGGAGGCAGCAGUGGGGAAUCUUAGACAAUGGGGGCAACCCUGAUCGAGCCAUGCCGCGUGAGUGAUGAAGGCCUUAGGGUUGUAAAGCUCUUUCAGCUGGGAAGAUAAUGACGGUACCAGCAGAAGAAGCCCCGGCUAACUCCGUG
This 433-nucleotide ribosomal RNA is filed under the name uncultured bacterium. RNAcentral describes it as "partial 16S ribosomal RNA". It matches the Rfam family "Bacterial small subunit ribosomal RNA", at positions 29 to 507 of the family's 1533-position model. The record is from RNAcentral.